UACGAAGGGGGCUAGCGUUGUUCGGAUUUACUGGGCGUAAAGAGCGCGCAGGCGGUCGUUCAAGUCGCGUGUGAAAGCCCCCGGCUCAACUGGGGAGGGUCACGCGAUACUGAUCGACUCGAAGGCAGGAGAGGGUAGUGGAAUUCCCGGUGUAGUGGUGAAAUGCGCAGAUAUCGGGAGGAACACCAAUGGCGAAGGCAGCUCGCUGGGACGUUACUGACGCUGAGACGCGAAAGCGUGGGGAGCAAACAGG
Molecule: ribosomal RNA, 253 nt
Filed under: uncultured bacterium
Lineage: Bacteria
Description: partial 16S ribosomal RNA
Rfam family: Bacterial small subunit ribosomal RNA
Source: RNAcentral